Molecule: ribosomal RNA, 460 nt
Filed under: uncultured bacterium
Lineage: Bacteria
Description: partial 16S ribosomal RNA
Rfam family: Bacterial small subunit ribosomal RNA
Source: RNAcentral
CCUACGGGAGGCAGCAGUGAGGAAUAUUUGUCAAUGGACGCAAGUCUGAACCAGCCAUGCCGCGUGCAGGAAUACGGCUCUAUGAGUUGUAAACUGCUUUUGUACGAGGGUAAACGCAGAUACGCGUAUCUGUCUGAAAGUAUCGUACGAAUAAGGAUCGGCUAACUCCGUGCCAGCAGCCGCGGUAAUACGGAGGAUUCAAGCGUUAUCCGGAUUUAUUGGGUGUAAAGGGUGCGUAGGCGGUCGGAUAAGUUAGAGGUGAAAUCCCGAGGCUCAACUUCGGAAUUGCCUCUGAUACUGUUCGACUAGAGAGUAGGUGGGGUAAGCGGAAUGUAUGGUGUAGCGGUGAAAUGCUUAGAGAUCAUACAGAACACCGAUUGCGAAGGCAGCUUACCAAGCUACUACUGACGUUGAGGCACGAAGGCGUGGGGAGCAAACGGGAUUAGAUACCCUGGUAGUC